GACGAACGCUGGCGGCGUGCUUAACACAUGCAAGUCGAACGCUGAAGCCCUUUCGGGGGUGGAUGAGUGGCGAACGGGUGAGUAACACGUGGGUAAUCUGCCCUGCACUCUGGGAUAAGCCUUGGAAACGGGGUCUAAUACCGGAUAGGACACAUCGCCGCAUGGUGUGUGUGUGGAAAGUUCCGGCGGUGCAGGUUGAGCCCGCGGCCUAUCAGCUUGUUGGUGGGGUGAUGGCCUACCAAGGCGACGACGGGUAGCCGGCCUGAGAGGGUGACGGGCCACACUGGGACUGAGACACGGCCCAGACUCCUACGGGAGGCAGCAGUGGGGAAUCUUGCGCAAUGGGCGAAAGCCUGACGCAGCAACGCCGCGUGGGGGAUGACGGCCUUCGGGUUGUAAACCUCUUUCGACCGGGACGAAGGGUGACUGACGGUACCGGUAGAAGCAGCACCGGCUAACUACGUGCCAGCCGCCGCAGUAA
Molecule: ribosomal RNA, 481 nt
Filed under: uncultured bacterium
Lineage: Bacteria
Description: partial 16S ribosomal RNA
Rfam family: Bacterial small subunit ribosomal RNA
Source: RNAcentral